GAUACAGGGUGACAGCCCCGUACACAAAAGCGCAUGUGCUGUGAGCUCGAUGAGUAGGGCGGGACACGUGGUAUCCUGUCUGAAUAUGGGGGGACCAUCCUCCAAGGCUAAAUACUCCUGACUGACCGAUAGUGAACCAGUACCGUGAGGGAAAGGCGAAAAGAACCCCGGCGAGGGGAGUGAAAAAGAACCUGAAACCGUGUACGUACAAGCAGUGGGAGCACAGGUUUACCUGUGUGACUGCGUACCUUUUGUAUAAUGGGUCAGCGACUUAUAUUCUGUAGCAAGGUUAACCGAAUAGGGGAGCCGGAGGGAAACCGAGUCUUAAUUGGGCGUUAAGUUGCAGGGUAUAGACCCGAAACCCGGUGAUCUAGCCAUGGGCAGGUUGAAGGUUGGGUAACACUAACUGGAGGACCGAACCGACUAAUGUUGAAAAAUUAGCGGAUGACCUGUGGCUGGGGGUGAAAGGCCAAUCAAACCGGGAGAUAGCUGGUUCUCCCCGAAAGCUAUUUAGGUAGCGCCUCGUGAAUUCAUCUCCGGGGGUAGAGCACUGUUUCGGCUAGGGGGCCAUCCCGGCUUACCAACCCGAUGCAAACUGCGAAUACCGGAGAAUGUUAUCACGGGAGACACACGGCGGGUGCUAACGUCCGUCGUGAAGAGGGAAACAACCCAGACCGCCAGCUAAGGUCCCAAAGUCAUGGUUAAGUGGGAAACGAUGUGGGAAGGCCCAGACAGCCAGGAUGUUGGCUUAGAAGCAGCCAUCAUUUAAAGAAAGCGUAAUAGCUCACUGGUCGAGUCGGCCUGCGCGGAAGAUGUAACGGGGCUAAACCAUGCACCGAAGCUGCGGCAGCGACACUGUGUGUUGUUGGGUAGGGGAGCGUUCUGUAAGCCUGUGAAGGUGUGUCGUGAGGCAUGCUGGAGGUAUCAGAAGUGCGAAUGCUGACAUAAGUAACGAUAAAGCGGGUGAAAAGCCCGCUCGCCGGAAGACCAAGGGUUCCUGUCCAACGUUAAUCGGGGCAGGGUGAGUCGACCCCUAAGGCGAGGCCGAAAGGCGUAGUCGAUGGGAAACGGGUUAAUAUUCCCGUACUUGGUGUUACUGCGAAGGGGGGACGGAGAAGGCUAUGUUGGCCGGGCGACGGUUGUCCCGGUUUAAGCGUGUAGGUGUGUGUUCCAGGUAAAUCCGGUUCACUUUAACACUGAGGCGUGACGACGAGGCACUACGGUGCUGAAGCAACAAAUGCCCUGCUUCCAGGAAAAGCCUCUAAGCAUCAGGUAACAUCAAAUCGUACCCCAAACCGACACAGGUGGUCAGGUAGAGAAUACCAAGGCGCUUGAGAGAACUCGGGUGAAGGAACUAGGCAAAAUGGUGCCGUAACUUCGGGAGAAGGCACGCUGACACGUAGGUGAAGUGAUUUACUCAUGGAGCUGAAGUCAGUCGAAGAUACCAGCUGGCUGCAACUGUUUAUUAAAAACACAGCACUGUGCAAACACGAAAGUGGACGUAUACGGUGUGACGCCUGCCCGGUGCCGGAAGGUUAAUUGAUGGGGUCAGCGCAAGCGAAGCUCCUGAUCGAAGCCCCGGUAAACGGCGGCCGUAACUAUAACGGUCCUAAGGUAGCGAAAUUCCUUGUCGGGUAAGUUCCGACCUGCACGAAUGGCGUAAUGAUGGCCAGGCUGUCUCCACCCGAGACUCAGUGAAAUUGAACUCGCUGUGAAGAUGCAGUGUACCCGCGGCAAGACGGAAAGACCCCGUGAACCUUUACUAUAGCUUGACACUGAACAUUGAGCCUUGAUGUGUAGGAUAGGUGGGAGGCUUUGAAGUGUGGACGCCAGUCUGCAUGGAGCCGACCUUGAAAUACCACCCUUUAAUGUUUGAUGUUCUAACGUGGACCCGUUACCCGGGUUGCGGACAGUGUCUGGUGGGUAGUUUGACUGGGGCGGUCUCCUCCUAAAGAGUAACGGAGGAGCACGAAGGUUGGCUAAUCCUGGUCGGACAUCAGGAGGUUAGUGCAAUGGCAUAAGCCAGCUUGACUGCGAGCGUGACGGCGCGAGCAGGUGCGAAAGCAGGUCAUAGUGAUCCGGUGGUUCUGAAUGGAAGGGCCAUCGCUCAACGGAUAAAAGGUACUCCGGGGAUAACAGGCUGAUACCGCCCAAGAGUUCAUAUCGACGGCGGUGUUUGGCACCUCGAUGUCGGCUCAUCACAUCCUGGGGCUGAAGUAGGUCCCAAGGGUAUGGCUGUUCGCCAUUUAAAGUGGUACGCGAGCUGGGUUUAGAACGUCGUGAGACAGUUCGGUCCCUAUCUGCCGUGGGCGCUGGAGAACUGAGGGGGGCUGCUCCUAGUACGAGAGGACCGGAGUGGACGCAUCACUGGUGUUCGGGUUGUCAUGCCAAUGGCACUGCCCGGUAGCUAAAUGCGGAAGAGAUAAGUGCUGAAAGCAUCUAAGCACGAAACUUGCCCCGAGAUGAGUUCUCCCUGAGACUUA
RNAcentral lists this ribosomal RNA (2483 nucleotides) under Salmonella enterica subsp. enterica serovar Enteritidis. RNAcentral's name for it is "bacterial LSU rRNA". It matches the Rfam family "Bacterial large subunit ribosomal RNA", at positions 354 to 2824 of the family's 2925-position model. Lineage: Bacteria; Pseudomonadati; Pseudomonadota; Gammaproteobacteria; Enterobacterales; Enterobacteriaceae. The record is from RNAcentral.